This 859-nucleotide ribosomal RNA is filed under the name uncultured bacterium. RNAcentral's name for it is "bacterial SSU rRNA". It matches the Rfam family "Bacterial small subunit ribosomal RNA", at positions 1 to 861 of the family's 1533-position model. The record is from RNAcentral.
AAUUCGAUUAGAGUUUGAUCAUGGCUCAGGAUGAACGCUAGCGGCAGGCUUAACACAUGCAAGUCGAGGGGUAUAUGUAGCUUGCUAUAUAGAGACCGGCAAACGGGUGCGGAACACGUACACAACCUGCCCUUAUCUUGGGGAUAGCCUUUCGAAAGGGAGAUUAAUACCCAAUAGUAUAUUAAAGUGGCAUCACUUAAAUAUUAAAGAAUUUCGGAUAAGGAUGGGUGUGCGUAAGAUUAGGUAGUUGGUGAGGUAACGGCUCACCAAGCCCACGAUCUUUAGCUGAUGUGAGAGCAUGAUCAGCCACACGGGCACUGAGACACGGGCCCGACUCCUACGGGAGGCAGCAGUGAGGAAUAUUGGGCAAUGGACGGAAGUCUGACCCAGCCAUGCCGCGUGAAGGAUGAAGGCGUUCUGCGUUGUAAACUUCUUUUACCAGGGAAGAAACCACAGAUUUCUAUUUGUGUUGACGGUACCUGGGGAAUAAGCACCGGCUAACUCCGUGCCAGCAGCCGCGGUAAUACGGAGGGUGCAAGCGUUAUCCGGAUUUACUGGGUUUAAAGGGUGUGUAGGCGGGCUAUUAAGUCUGGGGUGAAAUCUCCGAGCUCAACUCGGAAACUGCCCUGGAUACUGUUAGCCUUGAAUUAUGUUGAGGUUGGCGGAAUAUAACAUGUAGCGGUGAAAUGCAUAGAUAUGUUAUAGAACACCGAUUGCGAAGGCAGCUAACUAAGCAUAUAUUGACGCUGAGGCACGAAAGCGUGGGGAUCAAACAGGAUUAGAUACCCUGGUAGUCCACGCCCUAAACGAUGAUUACUCGUCACUGGCGAUACACAGUCAGUGACCAAGCGAAAGCGUU